Molecule: ribosomal RNA, 492 nt
Filed under: uncultured bacterium
Lineage: Bacteria
Description: partial 16S ribosomal RNA
Rfam family: Bacterial small subunit ribosomal RNA
Source: RNAcentral
AGUGAACGCUGGCGGUAGGCCUAACACAUGCAAGUCGAACGGCAGCACAGUAAGAGCUUGCUCUUACGGGUGGCGAGUGGCGGACGGGUGAGGAAUACAUCGGAAUCUACUUUUUCGUGGGGGAUAACGUAGGGAAACUUACGCUAAUACCGCAUACGACCUACGGGUGAAAGCAGGGGAUCUUCGGACCUUGCGCGAUUGAAUGAGCCGAUGUCGGAUUAGCUAGUUGGCGGGGUAAAGGCCCACCAAGGCGACGAUCCGUAGCUGGUCUGAGAGGAUGAUCAGCCACACUGGAGCUGAGACACGGUCCAGACUCCUACGGGAGGCAGCAGUGGGGAAUAUUGGACAAUGGGCGCAAGCCUGAUCCAGCCAUACCGCGCGGGUGAAGAAGGCCUUCGGGUUGUAAAGCCCUUUUGUUGGGAAAGAAAAGCAGCAGGUUAAUACCCCGCUGUUCUGACGGUACCCAAAGAAUAAGCACCGGCUAACUUCGUG